RNAcentral lists this ribosomal RNA (468 nucleotides) under uncultured bacterium. RNAcentral describes it as "partial 16S ribosomal RNA". It matches the Rfam family "Bacterial small subunit ribosomal RNA", at positions 28 to 507 of the family's 1533-position model. The record is from RNAcentral.
GACGAACGCUGGCGGCGUGCUUAACACAUGCAAGUCGAACGGAAAGGCCCUGCGUUUGUGGGGUGCUCGAUUGGCGAACGGGUGAGUAACACGUGAGUAACCUGCCCUUGACUUUGGGAUAACUUCAGGAAACUGGGGCUAAUACCGGAUAGGAUCUCCUGCUGCAUGGGGGGGGUUGGAAAGUGUCGGCGGUUGGGGAUGGACUCGCGGCUUAUCAGCUUGUUGGUGGGGUAGUGGCUUACCAAGGCUUUGACGGGUAGCCGGCCUGAGAGGGUGACCGGCCACAUUGGGACUGAGGUACGGCCCAGACUCCUACGGGCGGCAGCAGUGGGGAAUCUUGCACAAUGGGCCGAAGCCUGAUGCAGCAACGCCGCGUGCGGGAUGCUGGCCUUCGGGUUGUAAACCGCUUUCGCAUGUAACGAAGCGUGAGUGACGGUAAUGGGUAAAGAAGCACCGGCUAACUACGUG